AGGGGGUAAACAUAAGGGUAAGCACCAUAAUUUCAAAAUAUCAGCUACACGAAAGAGGAAAAAAGCCAGGAAAACAAGCUAAUUAAAGAACUUGUCACUUUCAAUUAAAUUUAUAUAUCCUAUGAUUAUACCACAUUAAACGUCUAUACGAUACUUCAGAGGUAACAUCAACUUGUAAGCACCAAGUAUGAAAACUAGCAUUCAGUUUAUGCUAUUUUUCAUCACUAUUCACAUCUUUCAUAGAACACACCUCUCAUGGACAGAAGUGAAAAUAAUGAAUUAAAAAACAGUGCAAAAAACCCGGUGGAAACAAGCAUGAGAGGAUUAAAACUGCAGAUUAGGCAUUAGAGACACUUUCAAUCAUAUUGGGACACGUUUGCUUAUAAUCUAUGUUGCUUUACUUGAUAACACUAUACUAUUUACACAGUAACAUAACAAGGUGCAUCCUUCUUCCACGCUGAUGUAUCUUAGAAUAUACUUAUGCAAACUAUCGUGGCCUGUAUUAAGAAACCAACAGAAUCCAACCCCAAUGGCAUGUCUUUUCUUAAAAACAAAGCUUACCCAGCUAUCAAUCAAAUCCUAUGUGUUGGAACCAUAAUCUAAUAUUCAAGAAUGUUUCUUCCAAAUUCAUUUGAUCAGCGUACAUUUGAAAUCAAUGAGAAUUUGGAUUUGCGUGUCAAGUGAAAAAUUAUUAAAUUUUAACAUAAUCUUAAAUUCAAAUAACUUCAUUAGAAAUUCACACCUAUCCAAAUGAA
Molecule: unclassified non-coding RNA, 755 nt
Filed under: Hevea brasiliensis (rubber tree)
Lineage: Eukaryota; Viridiplantae; Streptophyta; Magnoliopsida; Malpighiales; Euphorbiaceae
Source: RNAcentral